UAUUGUGUAUGUGGAAAAAGUUUUAGAUCUUUGAGUUCAUCUCAUACAAAAUGGGAGCAAAACCAAAAGUGUUGCGUUUAUAUUUUUGAGUGUAGAUCUAAUUCUUGUGCUAUGGUUUCAAGCAGUGUACCUGCCUCUGAAACGCUGGAAUUUUAUACGCAGGUGUAUCAAAGAAAUUGUUUCCGGUAAGAUACUUAAGAAAUACAGUAUAAUCUUUAGAGUUACCUGUUGAGCUUUUUGCUCAAACUAUUUCUACAAUAGAAUGUAUUUCCAAGAUCACA
Molecule: long non-coding RNA, 281 nt
Organism: Thalassophryne amazonica
Lineage: Eukaryota; Metazoa; Chordata; Actinopteri; Batrachoidiformes; Batrachoididae
Exons: 2
Source: RefSeq, a predicted model, not a curated record